This 868-nucleotide long non-coding RNA is filed under the name Calidris pugnax (ruff). RNAcentral describes it as "lncRNA (ENSCPUG00000004552.1)". Lineage: Eukaryota; Metazoa; Chordata; Aves; Charadriiformes; Scolopacidae. The record is from RNAcentral.
CUCCUCUUCUCCAGGCUGAAUAACCCCAUUGUCGCCCUUCUCUGGACCCGCUCCAGCACCUCAAUGUCUUUUUUAUGGUAGGGGGCCCAAAACUGGACACAGUUGCAGCCAACGUGCACUGACAAAGCGAUGCAGUGGCUAACGCCUGACGGGCCCUACUGGAACCUGCCCACUUCUGCCCACGGGGUCCCUCAGCCGAGGCGCCGAAAUGAGGAAGAUGAAGCCCUGGUGCGCUAGUGACUUUCCAUGGACACAUGUGAAGCUGAUGAACUGUGGAGCUUUUUUAGUUUGUAGGAGGGAAACUGAGGCACGUGCUCGCUGCGCAUCCGGCAAAAGCAUGUCGAUAACCAGUAAUGAGAGAGGAGUGCUCCGUCUGUUCAGACUAUUCAGCUCUUUGCACGGCUGCCCACGUGGCCAGGUAGUUGCCAUUAAAUAAGAUGAUUAAUUCCUCGACAAGUUGCUAUCUGGCCUAGCAGUCCAGCAUUUCCUUUUGGCAUCUGUGGCUGCUUUGAGGAAUGCAGCUUUAUAGAUUUUUACUAAUUAUCUAAUAGCUUUUCAAUCUCUUGUUUCAGUACGUGGAACUGGUGUUAAUUAAUUGCAGAUCUUCAGCAUACCAUUCUUAACUGAUUCCCCUAGUAAAUAUGUUUAACACUUGCCUUGGUUUCCUGUACAUGAUUCAUUCGGUUGGUAAGUGAUCCAUCUUUGUUUGCUGUCAAAGUCUUUGAGUUGGAAGAGGACUUUAAUCAUGUUACUUGGCUUUUCUGAAUAGGGAGAAGAAAUGGAGUCAAAUAAGCACGCAAUGGCAAUGCAGUUAAAAAAGAACCAUGGCCUGGGUUUCUUCCACCAAUAAAAAGUUGUGCAAGCUUCA